UACGUAGGUGGCGAGCGUUGUCCGGAAUUACUGGGCGUAAAGGAUGCGUAGGUGGAUAUUUAAGUGGGAUGUGAAAUCCCCGGGCUCAACCCGGGAACUGCAUUCCAAACUGGAUAUCUAGAGUGCAGGAGAGGAAAGCGGAAUUCCUAGUGUAGCGGUGAAAUGCGUAGAUAUUAGGAGGAACACCAGUGGCGAAGGCGGCUUUCUGGACUGUAACUGACACUGAGGCAUGAAAGCGUGGGUAGCAAACAGGAUUAGAUACCCUGGUAGUCCACGCCGUAAACGAUGGGUACUAGGUGUAGGAGGUAUCGACCCCUUCUGUGCCGUCGUUAACACAAUAAGUACCCCGCCUGGGGAGUACGGUCGCAAGACUAAA
This 376-nucleotide ribosomal RNA is filed under the name uncultured bacterium. RNAcentral's name for it is "bacterial SSU rRNA". It matches the Rfam family "Bacterial small subunit ribosomal RNA", at positions 524 to 898 of the family's 1533-position model. The record is from RNAcentral.